GACGAACGCUGGCGGCGUGCUUAACACAUGCAAGUCGAGCGAGGCCCUUCCUUCGGGAAGGUGCCCUAGCGGCGAACGGGUGAGUAACACGUGGGCAACCUGCCCCUAGCACUGGGAUAACCCCGGGAAACCGGGGCUAAUACCGGAUACGACUACGGAAGGCAUCUUCUGUGGUGGAAAAGGUUACUGGCUAGGGAUGGGCCCGCGGCCUAUCAGCUUGUUGGUGGGGUAACGGCCCACCAAGGCGACGACGGGUAGCCGGCCUGAGAGGGGGACCGGCCACACUGGGACUGAGACACGGCCCAGACUCCUACGGGAGGCAGCAGUGGGGAAUAUUGCACAAUGGGCGAAAGCCUGAUGCAGCGACGCCGCGUGAGGGAUGACGGCCUUCGGGUUGUAAACCUCUUUCAGCUCCGACGAAGCGAAAGUGACGGUAGGAGCAGAAGAAGCACCGGCCAACUACGUGCCAGCAGCCGCCGUAACAC
RNAcentral lists this ribosomal RNA (485 nucleotides) under uncultured bacterium. Its description in RNAcentral is "bacterial SSU rRNA". It matches the Rfam family "Bacterial small subunit ribosomal RNA", at positions 28 to 526 of the family's 1533-position model. The record is from RNAcentral.